AUGGUGCUGCCCAGGCUGCUGAAGCUGGUCAUGGUGUCCAUGUGGUUGGGAUCCAGUUUUGCCCAGAAGGUGACUCAGGCCCAGCCAGCCAUGUGGGUGCAGGAGAAGGAGGCUGUGACCCUGCUCUGCUCCUAUGACACCAGUGGUACAAGUUACAAUCUCCUCUGCUAUAAGCAGCCCAGCAGUGGGGAGAUGGUCUUCCUCAUCCUUCAGAACUCUUACAGCCAGCAAAAUGCCACAGAAGGUCGCUACUCAGUGAAUUUGCAAAAGGCAAGCAAAUCCAUCCAGCUUGUCAUCUCAGCCUCACAGCUGGGGGACUCAGUGGUGUAUUUCUGUGCACUGAGAGAGGGCACAGUGGGAGGACUGUUGGAGGGAGGGGUGAGCCAAGGAGAGAAGGUGGAGCAGCGUUCUUCUACCCUGAGUGUCCAGGAGGGAGACAGUGCUGUUAUCAACUGUACUUAUUCAUAUAGUGGUUCAGAGUACUUCCCUUGGUAUAAGCAAGAAGCUGGAAAAGGUCCCCAGCAUAUUAUAGACAUUCGUUCAAAUAAGGAGAUAAAUCAAAUCCAAAGAUUCACUGUUGUGUUGGAUAAGAGAGCCAAACACUUCUUCCUGAACAUCACAGCUGCCCAACCUGGAGACUCAGCUGUCUACUUCUGUGCAGUUGAUGCAUGA
Non-coding RNA from Urocitellus parryii (Arctic ground squirrel), 672 nucleotides. The record is from the annotation of a RefSeq genome assembly. Lineage: Eukaryota; Metazoa; Chordata; Mammalia; Rodentia; Sciuridae.